Molecule: ribosomal RNA, 253 nt
Filed under: uncultured bacterium
Lineage: Bacteria
Description: partial 16S ribosomal RNA
Rfam family: Bacterial small subunit ribosomal RNA
Source: RNAcentral
UACGUAGGGUGCGAGCGUUGUCCGGAAUUAUUGGGCGUAAAGAGCUUGUAGGCGGUUUGUCGCGUCUGCCGUGAAAAUCCGGGGCUCAACCCCGGACUUGCGGUGGGUACGGGCAGACUAGAGUGUGGUAGGGGAGACUGGAAUUCCUGGUGUAGCGGUGAAAUGCGCAGAUAUCAGGAGGAACACCGGUGGCGAAGGCGGGUCUCUGGGCCGAUACUGACGCUGAGGAGCGAAAGCGUGGGGAGCGAACAAG